AUGAAGGAGUGGGCAAGAGUGUUUACAGAGGGAGGAGGGGCAAGGUGGGAAUCAGGUUCAACCCCCACCCCAGAGCAGUCCCCACCCUAUUUCGGCUUCUCUUGUCUCCUUAGCCACUUUGAACUUCAAGGUCAGCUGUUUCGGGGAACAGAUACCUGCCAUCAUGAUUGCCUUGUGCCCUGUCUCUUCUGCCACUCCUCGCUCUUGGGUCCACCCUCCCCCAGGCUGCUGGAAUUUGCUGGACACCUGACAAAGCCUGGGAGGUUGUCUGUCCCUGCGGACUCACCAUGGGGCCCCAGGAGCCUGCUUUCCAUCAGGAGCCACGACCCCCUUUGGUAGUUCUCAUCUUAGGAAAGGUGAAACGGGCUAAUUCAUCUUAACUGAAAGGAUGUGGACACGGGGAUAUGAAAACAGGGCUCCAGCAUCCGCUGGCUUGAGGUCGGUCCCAGCUCUGGCACUUUCAGGCUGUGUGAUCUUAGGCAGGACGUCUUCAGAAGCCUCAGUUCCUCACCUGUAAAAUGAAGAUUACUAGGGGCGCCUGGGUGGCUCAGUCAGUUGGGCGUCUGUCUUCGGCUCCGGUCAUGAUCCCAGAGUCCUGGGAUUGAGCCCCACGUCAGGCCCCCUGCUCAGUGGGGAGCCUGCUUCUCCCUCUGCCUCUGCCUGCUGCUCCCUCUGCUUGUGCUUUCUCUCUCUCUGUCAAAUAAAUAAAUAAAAUCUUUAAAAAAAAUCAAGAUUACUAGAAUACCUACCUCAUGGGGCUACUGUGGGGGAACGUGAGAGAAACUAGGUAAGGCAUUUUGCACACAGUGGCUGGUACCUAUGAGCAUUCAUUUGUUUAUUCAUUUGUUAAUUUAUUCGACCAAUAGUUCUCGAGCAUCUACUAUGCACUUGUAUUAAUCUAGGAUCUGGGCACGUAGC
RNAcentral lists this long non-coding RNA (918 nucleotides) under Ursus thibetanus thibetanus. Its description in RNAcentral is "lncRNA (ENSUTTG00000014957.1)". The record is from RNAcentral. Lineage: Eukaryota; Metazoa; Chordata; Mammalia; Carnivora; Ursidae.